RNAcentral lists this long non-coding RNA (312 nucleotides) under Mytilus galloprovincialis (Mediterranean mussel). The record is from RNAcentral. Lineage: Eukaryota; Metazoa; Mollusca; Bivalvia; Mytilida; Mytilidae.
AUCUUGGAAAUCAUAACAAAAACAUAAAAACGUAAACUAACAAAAAUUACCAGCAAAACAAGAUCUUCAGCUAUAUAGAUAAGAUAUAGGAAGAUGUGGUGUGAGUGCCAAUGAGACAACUCUCCAUCCAAAUAACAAUUUAAAAAAUGUAAACCAUUUAAGGUCAAUGUACGGCUUUCAACACGGAGCCUUAGAUCACACCGAACAACAAGAUAUAAAGGGCCCCAAAAUAACUAGUGUAUAACCAUUCAAACAGGAAAACGAACGGUCUAAUCUAUAUACAAUUAAAAAAAAACGAGAAACAAGAACCAC